RNAcentral lists this transfer RNA (72 nucleotides) under Graphis lineola. Its description in RNAcentral is "tRNA-Glu". It matches the Rfam family "tRNA". Rfam says of the family: Transfer RNA (tRNA) molecules are approximately 80 nucleotides in length. Their secondary structure includes four short double-helical elements and three loops (D, anti-codon, and T loops). Further hydrogen bonds mediate the characteristic L-shaped molecular structure. tRNAs have two regions of fundamental functional importance: the anti-codon, which is responsible for specific mRNA codon recognition, and the 3' end, to which the tRNAs corresponding amino acid is attached (by aminoacyl-tRNA synthetases). tRNAs cope with the degeneracy of the genetic code in two manners: having more than one tRNA (with a specific anti-codon) for a particular amino acid; and 'wobble' base-pairing, i.e. permitting non-standard base-pairing at the 3rd anti-codon position. Lineage: Eukaryota; Fungi; Ascomycota; Lecanoromycetes; Ostropales; Graphidaceae. The record is from RNAcentral.
GGCCCAAUGGUCAAACGGUUAAGACAUCACCUUUUCAACGUGAAUAUAAGGGUUCGAUUCCCUUUUGGGCUA